CCUACGGGUGGCAGCAGUGAGGAAUAUUGGUCAAUGGGCGGGAGCCUGAACCAGCCAAGCCGCGUGAAGGAAGAAGGCGCCAGGCGUCGUACACUUCUUUUGUUGGGGAACAAAGGGCGCCACGCGUGGCGUUGUGAGUGUACCCGAAGAAAAAGCAUCGGCCAACUCCGUGCCAGCAGCCGCGGUAACACGGAGGUUGCGAGCGUUAUCCGUAUUCAUUGGGAUUAGAGGGUGCGUAGGCGGUCCGGAAAGUCAGCGGUACAAGCCCGGAGCUCAACCCCGGCGAGCCGUUGAAACUGGCGGACGAGAGACGGCGAGAAGUACGCGGAAUGCGCGGUGUAGCGGUGAAAUGCAUAGAUAUCGCGCAGAACUCCGAUUGCGAAGGCAGCGUACCGGCGCCGGACUGACGCUGAGGCACGAAAGCGUGGGGAUCGAACAGGAUUAGAUACCCGGGUAGUC
RNAcentral lists this ribosomal RNA (459 nucleotides) under uncultured bacterium. RNAcentral describes it as "partial 16S ribosomal RNA". It matches the Rfam family "Bacterial small subunit ribosomal RNA", at positions 338 to 795 of the family's 1533-position model. The record is from RNAcentral.